RNAcentral lists this ribosomal RNA (497 nucleotides) under uncultured bacterium. Its description in RNAcentral is "partial 16S ribosomal RNA". It matches the Rfam family "Bacterial small subunit ribosomal RNA", at positions 28 to 507 of the family's 1533-position model. The record is from RNAcentral.
GACGAACGCUGGCGGCGUGCCUAAUACAUGCAAGUUGAGCGCUGAAGGUUGGUACUUGUACCAACUGGAUGAGCAGCGAACGGGUGAGUAACGCGUGGGGAAUCUGCCUUUGAGCGGGGGACAACAUUUGGAAACGAAUGCUAAUACCGCAUAAAAACUUUAAACACAAGUUUCAAGUUUGAAAGAUGCAAUUGCAUCACUCAAAGAUGAUCCCGCGUUGUAUUAGCUAGUUGGUGAGGUAAAGGCUCACCAAGGCGAUGAUACAUAGCCGACCUGAGAGGGUGAUCGGCCACAUUGGGACUGGGACAAGGCCCAAACUCCUACGGGAGGCAGCAGUAGGGGAUCUUCGGCAAUGGACGAAAGUCUGACCGAGCAACGCCGCGUGAGUGAAGAAGGUUUUCGGAUCGUAAAACUCUGUUGGUAGAGAAGAACGUUGGUGAGAGUGGAAAGCUCAUCAAGUGACGGUAACUACCCAGAAAGGGACGGCUAACUACGUG